AAUAUUUGUCAACGGGGGCAACCCUGAUCCAGCCAUGCCGCGCGUGUGAAGAAGGUCUUUGGAUUUUAAAGCACUUUUUGUUAGGAGGAAGGGCUUUAGGUUAUUACCCUGAUGUUUAGACGCUACCAACACAAUAAGAACCGGCUAACUCUGUGCCAGCAGCGUCGGUAAUACAGAGGGUGCAAGCGUUAAACGGAAUUACUGGGCGUAAAGCGAGCGGAGGUGGUUCGGUAAGAUGGGUGUGAAAUCCCCGGGCUUAACCUGGGAACUGCUUUCAUAACUGGUGAGCUAGAGUACAGUAGAGGGUAGUAGAAUUACCUGUGUAGCGGUGAAAUGCGUAGAUAUAGGGAGGAACACCAGUGGCGAAGGCGACUACCUGGACUGAUACUGACACUGAGGUGCGAAAGCGUGGGGAGCAAAC
This 421-nucleotide ribosomal RNA is filed under the name uncultured bacterium. RNAcentral's name for it is "partial 16S ribosomal RNA". It matches the Rfam family "Bacterial small subunit ribosomal RNA", at positions 360 to 773 of the family's 1533-position model. The record is from RNAcentral.